GACGAACGCUGGCGGCGCGCCUAACACAUGCAAGUCGAACGAGCGAGAGAGAGCUUGCUUUCUCGAGCGAGUGGCGAACGGGUGAGUAACGCGUGAGGAACCUGCCUCAAAGAGGGGGACAACAGUUGGAAACGACUGCUAAUACCGCAUAAGCCCACGGCUCGGCAUCGAGCAGAGGGAAAAGGAGCAAUCCGCUUUGAGAUGGCCUCGCGUCCGAUUAGCUAGUUGGUGAGGUAACGGCCCACCAAGGCAACGAUCGGUAGCCGGACUGAGAGGUUGAACGGCCACAUUGGGACUGAGACACGGCCCAGACUCCUACGGGAGGCAGCAGUGGGGAAUAUUGCACAAUGGGGGAAACCCUGAUGCAGCGACGCCGCGUGGAGGAAGAAGGUCUUCGGAUUGUAAACUCCUGUUGUUGGGGAAGAUAAUGACGGUACCCAACAAGGAAGUGACGG
Molecule: ribosomal RNA, 455 nt
Filed under: uncultured bacterium
Lineage: Bacteria
Description: bacterial SSU rRNA
Rfam family: Bacterial small subunit ribosomal RNA
Source: RNAcentral